This 1907-nucleotide ribosomal RNA is filed under the name marine metagenome. Its description in RNAcentral is "bacterial LSU rRNA". It matches the Rfam family "Bacterial large subunit ribosomal RNA", at positions 1 to 1989 of the family's 2925-position model. The record is from RNAcentral.
UCAAGCGCGAGAAGGGCGUUUGGUGGAUGCCUUGGCAGUAAGAGGCGAUGAAGGACGUGAUACUCUGCGAUAAGCUUUGGGAAGUCGAGAAUAGACGCUAUACCCAAAGAUCUCCGAAUGGGGCAACCCAACUGAUACUUUGUUAUUGUUACACUUUGUGUAAUCAAUAAUGGGGUAAAACAGUUAUUAAUUACCUGAAUACAUAGGGUUUUUAAAGCAAACCUGGGGAACUGAAACAUCUAAGUACCCAGAGGAAAGGAAAUCAAUAGAUACUCCCGUAGUAGUGGCGAGCGAACCGGGACCAGCCGAGCAAUGAAUGUGACUAGAACCAGUUGGAAAGCUGGGCGAUAUGGGUGACAGCCCCGUAUAGGAAGCAUGAUUUGACGUAUUAAGUAGGGCGGAACACGUGAAAUUCUGUCUGAACAUGGGGGGACCACCCUCUAAGGCUAAGUACUCCUUACUGACCGAUAGCGAACCAGUACCGUGAGGGAAAGGUGAAAAGCACCCCGACGAGGGGAGUGAAACAGUUUCUGAAACCGGACGCCUACAAACAGUUGGAGCCUCUUUAUGGGGUGACAGCGUACCUUUUGUAUAAUGGGUCAACGACUUGGUCUUACUAGCAAGCUUAAGCCGAUAGGUGUAGGCGCAGCGAAAGCGAGUCUUAAUAGGGCGAAUGAGUUAGUAGGAUCAGACCCGAAACCGAGUGAUCUAGGCAUGAGCAGGUUGAAGGUAAGGUAACACUUACUGGAGGACCGAACCCACAUCUGUUGAAAAAGAUCGGGAUGACUUGUGCCUAGGGGUGAAAGGCCAAUCAAACUCGGAGAUAGCUGGUUCUCCGCGAAAUCUAUUUAGGUAGAGCGUCGCACGAAUACCUUGGGGGGUAGAGCACUGAAUGGGUAAUGGGGACUCACCGUCUUACUGAUCCUAAUCAAACUCCGAAUACCCAAGAGUAAUAUGCGGCAGACACACUGCGGAUGCUAACGUCCGUAGUGGAGAGGGAAACAACCCUGACCCUCAGCUAAGGCCCCUAAUUCAUGGCUAAGUGGGAAAGCAGGUGGGACGACCAAAACAACCAGGAAGUUGGCUUAGAAGCAGCCAUCUUUUAAAGAUAGCGUAACAGCUCACUGGUCUAAUUUAAGUUAUCCUGCGGCGAAGAUGUACCGGGGCUCAAGCCAUGAGCCGAAGCUAGGGAUGCAAUUUAUUGCAUGGUAGCGGAGCGUUCUGUGAUAUAGAACGCUGCGUCUUUAGUAUCUUAGGAUAUUUUGGACGCAAUGUUCUGACUGUGAAGCCGGCGCGUAAGCGAUCCGGUGGAGUGAUCAGAAGUGAGAAUGUUGACAUGAGUAGCGACAAACAGGGUGAGAGACCCUGUCGCCGAAAGUCCAAGGGUUCCUGCUUAAAGCUAAUCUGAGCAGGGUAAGCCGACCCCUAAGGCGAGGCCGAAAGGCGUAGUCGAUGGGAACCAGUUUAAUAUUACUGGGCCAGGAGAUGGUGACGGAUCGAAAGCGUAGUGACUCCUUAUCGGAUUGAAGUUGCUGCCGGACGGUUCCUGGAAAUAGCCCUCCAUUAGAUCGUACCCUAAACCAACACAGGUGGACUGGUAGAGAAUACCAAGGCGCUUGAGAGAACUACAUUGAAGGAACUCGGCAAAAUGCCUCCGUAAGUUCGCGAGAAGGAGGCCCCAUCAGAAGGCAACUUUUGGUGGGGGGCACAGACCAGGGGGUGGCGACUGUUUACUAAAAACACAGGGCUCUGCGAAGUCGUAAGACGACGUAUAGGGUCUGACGCCUGCCCGGUGCUGGAAGGUUAAGAGGAGGUGUGCAAGCACUGAAUUGAAGCCCCAGUAAACGGCGGCCGUAACUAUAACGGUCCUAAGGUAGCGAAAUUCCUUGUCGGGUAAGUUCCGACCU